Molecule: ribosomal RNA, 328 nt
Filed under: uncultured eukaryote
Lineage: Eukaryota
Description: partial 18S ribosomal RNA
Rfam family: Eukaryotic small subunit ribosomal RNA
Source: RNAcentral
CCCUUAGAUGUCCUGGGCCGCACGCGCGCUACACUGAUGCAUGCAACGAGCUUAUAACCUUGGCCUGAAAGGUCUGGGUAAUCUUUUGAACGAGCAUCGUGAUAGGGAUAGAUUAUUGCAAUUGUUAAUCUUGAACGAGGAAUUCCUAGUAAACGCGAGUCAUCAGCUCGCAUUGAUUACGUCCCUGCCCUUUGUACACACCGCCCGUCGCACCUACCGAUUGAAUGGUUCGGUGAAGAUCUCGGACUUCGAUAUUUAUUCUUUAUUGAGUUUAUAUUGUGGGAAGUUAUCUAAACCUCAUCAUUUAGAGGAAGGUGAAGUCGUAACA